GUGGGCGUAGGAAGAUUGAGGAGCGUCAUCUCCAGUACGAGAGGACCGAGAUGGCUCGACCGCUGGUGCGCCAGUUGGGGUGCCCACCCCACAGCUGGAUAGCUAUGUCGAGAAGGGAUAAGCGCUGACAGCAUCUAAGCGCGAAGCCGCUCCCAAGAUGAGUCUUCCCACUGUGUCACGCACAGUCAAGAUCCCAGGGAGAUUACCUGGUAGAUAGACCACAGGUGGAGGCCUGGUAACAGGUGAAGCCAAGUGGCCCUAAUGAUCGUACGGCUUGUC
Molecule: ribosomal RNA, 279 nt
Filed under: Chloroflexota bacterium
Lineage: Bacteria; Bacillati; Chloroflexota
Description: Chloroflexi bacterium partial 23S ribosomal RNA
Rfam family: Bacterial large subunit ribosomal RNA
Source: RNAcentral